Molecule: long non-coding RNA, 31155 nt
Filed under: Citrus maxima (pomelo)
Lineage: Eukaryota; Viridiplantae; Streptophyta; Magnoliopsida; Sapindales; Rutaceae
Description: long non-coding RNA (CMAX_LNC003331)
Source: RNAcentral
GGAGCAAACAUUGGUUUAGGCACUUGUAAAAUAGUGUAAUUUUGGAAAAUGGUAGUUGAUUUUGUGAGAAAUUUUGUGCUUAGAACUUGGAAUUUGGUCUCCAAUCCGAAAGUUCCGUGUACAAAAUCAAGCAUGGAUUCCAAAGAGGUCGCACAAAUUUUGGUUUCUCCUUCGAUGGGAGGAACUUCGCAAUGAUUCAGGGUCCCUUCCAUGGCUUUGGCUAGGGAUGAAUCAUCUGAGAACGAGAAGAAUUGAAGAAGGUAAGGCAGUUGUUUCAAUGAAAAUGGAAUGGAAUCUGCUUCUUCUCUAGGCAAAGCCUGAGGAUAAGCUGAAGGAUCUCUCUUGCGAAAAUAAAUCGGCAUCGUUUCGCCAAUCUUUAGAUCCUUCAAGGCCAUCGUUGAAGGGUCCAUGUGAUUCAUGUGGGAUGGUAUUGAAUGAGAAUCAUGAAGAUUCUCCGAAAGCACCUGAGCACACUGUAAAACAGUUGAGCAAUUCAAUAUCACAACAUAGAUGAAAAAUCAACAACACAAGUUCUAUAAAGUGUAAAACUGAAGGAGCAAAAUAUAUCUUUUUGAGUUAUUGCUUUAAGACAACACUUAUGUACAUGUAUUGCAAAGUAAGCCACUUAAUUAGCACACAUUGAGGAUUAUUACCAGAAAGAGUAGAGAAAGAAGGAGGUUCCAAGCUGAAAAUCGUAACCCCAUCUCUUUUCUAUUAUCGAAGUUUGUUAUAUAUUUUAGUAAUCUUUUUUUUUUCAGGGAGAAGAAACACAGAUAACAAGUGAAGCAGAAAGAGAAGAGAUUGUGUGACUGUAUAUGUCAACAACCAAAUGAUGUGUGUUGAUUUUCAAGUGGACAUUUAUAGCCUGCAUAAGCUGAACUUGUUCUACUGUGCUGAUUAAUUGAAUCACAACACAGUUUGAAUAAUGACCUUAAUAGUCCAAUCCAGCAAAGAAUUCAGCACUCCAAUCAUUUGGGGACACACGUAUUGCACCUUCAUCAGGUCUGCGGAUUUUAAUAGUUUUGACUGAGUGAAUGAUUACUUCAAUUGAUAACAUUGCAUAUUAGAUUACCAGACCUAAAAUUGAUUUCUUAUUAAAAAAUUUACUUGCAAUUUGGAAACUCUCUUUGACACAUUAAUUACAGACUCGAAAUCUGUAUCAAUAUUCCCCAUACAUAGACAGAACUGAGCAUAAAAAGUGGGAAGGCAGAUCGUAAACAAAUUCGACAUGGUAGUUUCCAAGGAUGAAUAGCAUUUUUUUCAUUCAAAAAUGGGAUAAUAUAUCCUUCAGUCACGUAAUGUACACUAAGGCGGCGUUUGGUUGGGAGGAGAGAACAAAGAAGAGGAAAGUAAUUUAAAUUUUCUUUUUAUUUUCAUUGUUUGGUUUGAUAAAAUAUAUAAGAAUUUAAUUUCCAUUAGAAUUUAAUAUCCAUCAUAAUUUGAAUUCCACACCAAGUAGUGAAGAAUUUAAAUUCCUCUUAUGUUAGAAACUAAAGUUUCCAAAAUUACCCUUCAACUUGUUUAAUGUCAUUAAUAAUUAUUAUUUAAUAUUAUAAAUGGAUCACCGCCGGAAAGUCGCCGGACUACCGCCGGAAAGUCACUGGAAAGUUACCGGGCCACCUCGGAAUGUUGCCGGAAAGUCACCAGACCACUGCCGAAAGUUGCCGGACGUCGCCAAAAUCCUGCCGAACGUUGCCAUAAGGUAGUUUCCAAGGAUGAAUAGCAUUUUUUUUUCAUUCGAGAAUGGGAUAAUUUAUCCUUCAGUCACGUAAUGUACACUAAAGCUCUUCUCAACCUAGUGUGCGUCGGAUAUGUGAGCGUCGGGGCUCCAAUCUCCCGUACAAUCUUUAAAAUUUUGUUUGGUCAAAUUAACAGGCUGCACUCACUGUAUUUCCAUGGAUCACACUACUUCAACUAAAAGAUAAGAUAAUAAGUAUCUUUAGGAUUUUACUGAAUGAUUUUUAAGUAGUUUUUAUUAAUUAAUUAUUCAAAUUCGAAUUAAAAAAAGACUAAAAAAUUCAUCUGAAUUUUUCUCACUCCCAAUCUUUAAAAAUAAAACAAAUAAUAAGUCAUAUAAACAAUAUUUUAAAUGCAAUUUUCACUUCAAACAUAUUUCAUUUGAAGUUUAAUUAUAUUCUCCGAUGGAACCUGGAUAAGUUGAAAAAAAAUUUAUUAAUAAAAAAAAUGUACAUCUAAUUGUCUAACGAUGGGUCAAGAACAAAAGGUUAAAAGAUAAUAUACGUGGACAUGAUAAUGCAGAAACCGAAAAUCAAAAGGGCACGAGUUUCAAAUGCUAGACAAAUGAAAGAGACGUGUGAUUGCAGGUCGAUUUUCUUCUCAUCACUAGCCACUAGUGUUGUGCGCGGAAUGCGGAAUCAAGCGCACCAAAUAAUUAUUGAAAAAUAAAGGACACAAGAAUUUACGUGGUUCGGUAAUUAAACCUACAUCCACGGAGACAAGAAAGAAUAAUUGUUUAUUUAACAAUUAAUAGAAUACAAUAUUUGAGUAACGAAUCUCACUUCCCAGAAAACCCAAAUAUACCCAGUACUCUCACACUCUGCAAGAAAGAUAAAUUCCCCAGACACACUUCUCUCACUUCUCUCAAAAGCUUAGAAACUUAUAAGCUUGACAAUUUUGGGAUGAUUUCAAAUGAAUGAAAUCCUUAGCUAUUUAUAGACUUGAAGCUAGUAUUAUUCCACCUAACCCAAGUACUAUUUCACCUAACCCAAGCACUAUUCCACCUAACCCAUGCAAAUAUGUCAAUGGUGUCCAUUUGGCAAAUUUGACAAAUUUGCCAACUUUCCAUUUUUUCUUCAAAUGUUUGGUAGCUCUUUGAAAAAUUGCCACAUGCAUGACUUUUCAACAAUUCUCCACCUCGGCGAAAAUUUGUCCAAAUCUGAGCCGACUACCAACGAACCCUCAUCCCCAAAGUGAUCCUUCAAUAAGGAUCCAGAAUGACUGUGUCGAUUCGACUGUCUACGUACCCAAAAUUUGGGAUCAAGCCAACCGUAGUUCAAAAAUUCUCCAAACUCAACGCAUUCGAAGAAUUAGUUUCAAUCCGUAUAAAGAUUUACUCAAUCUGCACACACGAUUUUCCUUUCCAGCAACUCUGAAACCACAAGGCUGAAUCAUAUAGAUUUUCUCCUCUAAAUCUCCAUGUAAGAACGCCGUCUUAACAUCCAACUGAGCUAACUCUAACUCAUAUUCUGCAACUAAGGCAAGUAGGAUACGAAUGGAAGUAUGUUUUACAAUUGGAGAGAAAACUUCAUUGUAGUUCAUACCUUCCUUUUGAGCAAAACCUUUUGCCACGAGCCUUGCCUUGUAUCGAGGAGUUGUUUGAUUCGGAGAUCCUUGCUUUUUGGUGUAGACCCAUUUAUUGCCAAUAGCCCUUUUCCCCUUUGGUAACUUUACAAGUUCCCAAGUCUGGUUUUGAUGGAGAGAUUUCAUCUCUUCCUCCAUGGCUAGCUUCCACUGAUCACUUUCAUUGCUGCGUAAUGCUUCACCGAAAGUAUUGGGGAUGUCAUCAUCAAUAACUGAAAGUGCAUAGGCUACCACCAUAUCUUUAGUAAGCCAUCCGGGUUUUUUUAUCUCUCUUUUUGGCCUCCUUGUUGCUAUAAAAUCAUCAUCAUCUACAUCAUCAAUUGUUUUUUCAUUUUGUGGGACAUCAGAAGAAACAACCUCUUCUUCAACUUUAGGUGUCACCUCCAUAGUUGAACCAUUCUUUGAUGUAGAACUAACUUGUACAUAUGGAGUUGCAUCAAACUCCACCCGCUGCAAUACCUCUGUGGUCUUGUUCUCCACCUGCUGAGAACUUGAAGCUUUUAUCAUUGAAGCUUCAUCAAAUGUGACAUCUCCGCUACACACAAACUUUUUGUCUUCGAGAUCCCAAAGCUUGAAGCCCUUUACUCCACCUUUGAAUCCCACAAAGAUAGAUUUUUUAGCACGAGGAUCCAGUUUACCAUCUUUGACAUGAUAAUAAGCUGGACACCCGAAUACACGAAGGGAAUCAUAGUCUUGUGCAUGCUUUCCAGACCCCAUUUCCAUAUGAGUUUUACCUCCAAUUGCAGCAGAAGGCAACCGAUUUACCAAGUGACUUGCGUAGCUCACAGUUUCAGCCCAAAACUUUUUAUCUAAACCAGCAUUAGAUAACAUACAUCGUACCUUCUCCAGUAAAGUACGAUUCAUACGCUCAGCCACACCGUUCUGUUGCGGAGUAUGUCUCACCGUGAAAUGUCUUUUAAUACCCUCGUUCUGGCAUACUUGCAAGAAUGGAUCAGAAGUAUAUUCACCCCCAUUAUCAGAUCGUAAUACUUUGAUCUUUCUGCCAGUUUGAGUCUCCACCAAUUUCUUCCACUUCACGAAAAUCUUUAGAACCUCAUCCUUUGCUCGCAUGGUGUACACCCAUACACGUCUAGAGAAAUCAUCAACAAAUAUAACAAAAUAAUGGCUUCCACCAAUUGAUGCAGUCUUGGUUGGUCCCCAUACAUCACUAUGAACAUAUUCAAGGAUCUCACGAGUAUCGUGAUUAGCUGUACCAAACUUGACCCUUGUUUUCUUGCCUACUACACAAUGCUCACAGAAAUUUAAUUUACAGGUUUUGGUACCUUUUAAGAGUCCAUGCCUCAUCAGAGUUUGCAAAGACUUCUCUCCUGCAUGUCCCAGUCGUACAUGCCAUAGCUUGGUGGUGUCACUGUGCGCCUCAACAACAUUUGCUUCAUCAGUUGUACCUCUCUUCAAAUAGUACAAAUUGUGACGCCGAACCCCUUGCAGAAUCAUCAUAGCCCCAUGUGUAAACUUCAUUGUGCCAUCUUCAAUGGUAACUUUGUAACCUUUAGCUUCCAAAGCACCCACAGAAAUUAGAUUUUUCUUUAUCUCUGGAACAAAUCUAACCUAUUUGAGUUCUCUGACCAUUCCAUCAAACAUUUUGAGCCGAAUUGUUUCUAUCCCCAUUGUGCGACAAGGUUGAUUAUUCCCCAUCAUAACUGCACCGGAUUCCAGAUUACGAAAAUCCGUAAACCAUUCCUUAAUAGGACACAAAUGAUAGGUUGCUCCAGUAUCAAGUGUCCACUCACUCGAACUAGCCACGUAUGCUGCAGGAGUAAUACUUAGUGAAUAAUCAGAGUUCUCAUCUUUCCGUGCCAUGUUUGCUGCUGCUGGUUUCUUCCCAUCUCUCUUUUGAGCCUUUGGACAAUCUUUUCUCCAAUGACCCUUUUCAUGAAAAAAGGCACACUCAUCUCGAGCUAUAUUUCUGCUUCUUGAUUUGGAUCAAGAAUUCAUUCCACCACGGUUCUUCUGUUUCUCCAUCGCCCAAUCUCUGCUCACCAAAGCUUCAGACGAUGCUCGUUCAGAAUUUUUAUCAUUAUUCUGAAUCUCCAAACUAGUCAAUGCUGUGCAAACAUCUUUAAAGACGAUCACACUCUUCCCAUAUAUCAAAGUAGUCACAAAAUGGCUAUAUUCCUCUGGUAGUGAGUGUAACAGAAUCAUAGCCUUAACUUCAUCUUUAAUAUCUUCAUCAAGAUUCUUCAAAUCAGCAAGUAACUUUUCAAAUCUUGAAACAUGAUCGUGCAUUGACACCCCAGGCUUCAUUCGAAAACCAUAUACUUGGCUCAUUACAUGAAGGCGAUUUUCAGGACUUUUCACCAGGUACUUCUCCUCCAAUGUACGCCACAAAGUCACCGCACACUCCUCAUCUUUCACCAAGUAUUUCACCUCCUUGGUCAAACAAGAUCUGAUAUGACCACAAGUUUUUUCGUUCAUACGAUCCCAAAUUUCUUCAUCAUACAAGUGCCUUUUAUUUUUUAGAACAACAUCGAGAUCGAUUUGAAUAAGGGCAUCCAUAACUUCGCGCCUCCACAUGCCGAAGUUGAUUUUCCCAUCAAACUUUUCAACAUCGAUCUUUUGGCCUCCUAUAACAUGUGCUGAAUAGCGAUUUGAUAAAUCUCGCCUCCCACCUGAAGUGUCUCCUGAAAUAGUCUCGGUAGAUAUCUCCCUAAUUCUGGAAGUUUCACCUUCUACCAUUUUCUCAACGAACUAUUUCCACUUAAAAAACAGUCUCUAUGAUGUUAAUUUCGCGUGAAUAAAUGCACCAGGAAAGUUCCCAGGAAACUGGACGGGAACUCGGUCCCAAUUAAAAACCAGAAUCCUUAGACUCUUAUCGCCUUUUUUGACAGAACUUUCCUAGACAUGCAAAAAUACACACUACUUACAAUAGACUGUCUCCCAAGUACAAAUGGCCGUCUCCACCGUAUUCGUAAAUAGUGCCGUAUAUGUGAACAGUACCGUAUACGUGAACAAUACCGUAUACGUGAACAGUACUGUAUCCCCCAAGUACGAACCGUCGGCUCUGAUACCACUUGUUGUGCGCGGAAUGCGGAAUCAAGCGCACCAAAUAAUUACUGAAAAAUAAAGGACACAAGAAUUUACGUGGUUCGGUAAUUAAACCUACAUCCACGGAGGCAAGAAAGAAUAAUUGUUUAUUUAACAAUUAAUAGAAUACAAUAUUUGAGUAACGAAUCUCACUUCCCAGAAAACCCAAAUAUAUCCAGUACUCUCACACUCUGCAGGAAAGAUAAAUUCCCCAGACACACUUCUCUCAAAAGCUUAGAAACUUAUAAGCUUAACAAUUUUGGGAUGAUUUCAAAUGAAUGAAAUCCUUAGCUAUUUAUAGACUUGAAGCUAGUACUAUUCCACCUAACCCAAGUACUAUUUCACCUAACCCAAGCACUAUUCCACCUAACCCAUGCAAAUAUGUCAAUGGUGUCCAUUUGGUAAAUUUAACAAAUUUACCAACUUUCCAUUUUUUCUUCAAAUGUUUGAUAGCUCUUUGAAAAAUUGCCACAUGCAUGACUUUUCAACAACUAGCACACAUCCCCUUAAUCAAAAUCUUUUUCAAUAUUGUUUAUUAUAUAAAUGGAUAUUGGUAGUGGUUGAACUUCUAUUAUUUAAUUAUGUUGUCAUUUUCCAUCACUACAACAACAGAUGAUUCAAGUAGGAUCGAUCAAUAAUUGUCGCCCAAUGUUUUGUCUUUUUCAUAAUUUAGUUAUUUUUGUUCAUAUGUCUGACGAAGAAGUUUUAAUUUUGCAAGAGGAAUUCAAGUUGAUAAGACCUUGUCGACUUGUCUUCUGCUGAAGAAUCUUGAAUAAUCAUGCCAAAUUCAAAAAGUGGCAAAAGCAAAAGGCUAAGUUCUUAAUGAAUUCAAUAUUAUUACGAAUUUGGUGCUAGCUCAAUCUUGAAAAUGAUCCAAAAAUUAAAAAGUAAACAUAUAAUAAUCACAUCUACAAAUGUACAUUAUUAGUGAGUCAUUGAUGAUAUCCCAUCACGAAUUCAUUAGCUGACUAAUUAAAGAUACCACGAAAAUAUUAUAUCAUUAGCUGGUCUAAAAAAGUAGUCAAUAAGAAAAUGAAAGGUAAAUUCAUAAAUUUCAGCCGGAAUUUUUUUUUUUUUUUUUAAAAGGACCAAUAAUUGUAGGAAAUGGCUAGCUUCUUAUCCUCUUCACAAAAGAUUAAAUCCUCUUGAAAAGGUUUGUUACUGAAAUACAUAUCAUAUUACACCAACACUCUCUAUUACCAUAUGAAUUUAGAUCUUCCCCUAACUUAAUAUUUCAUAUAAUAUUGUAGGAAUAAUCUUCAUCACCGGAGAUUAGGAUCUUCUCCUAACUUAAUAUCUCAUAAGUGUUGUAUGAGAUUAUUUAGCUCAUGUCAUUAUAUUUUUCUAAAGCUAGGAUUUAAUUUACUUUAUACUUUCCUUAUUAAACAUUAAAACCAAUAAUUUUCUAGGCUAAGUAAAACCAUGAAAUUCAAGUGUGCCGCUUUCUAACCAAACUGCUGCUUCUUUCUCUACCGUUUUUUUUUUUUUUUUUGGUCACAAACUUUAAACUGUGGUAUAUAUAAACUUGAGCAAAGAAGCAUUAUUGGUAGGAUUGGCAAUGAGACGGGAUGGGAUGAGAUUUACCAAUCCCACUCCCGUCCCGCAUAUAUAAUUGAGAUAAAAAAAUGUCUCACUCCCAUCCUUCAAUUUUUUUAUGGGACCAAAAUAUAUCCCAAUCCUGUCCCAAAUUGCCAUCCCUAAUUAUUGGCAAUUCAUUCUUUUAAGAAUUGUUUAUGUAAUGGAAUCAGACCAGAACAGAAUGCAUUAUUGUUCGAUAUACGUAGUCUACAAUAACAAUUGAAGACACCUGAAGAUAAUAUCAAUUAUAGACAAUUGUUAUUGCAAUAUAUUCAAUGCAUUGUUGCUAUCGCUUGUCUGCAAUUAAUUUUAUAUAAAUUAAGCUGAUAUAUCUCAUUUCAGUGUACUAAUAAUUAAGUUGAACGUUGAUGCAGCUACUGCUAUUUCCAGGAACACAGCUUUCUAGGAGCCAUUAUUCGUAAUGUGAGAAGGGAGAUUAAUUAUGGCAGUAGCUAUCUAAAGUAAAAUUUUGGAGAUCUUGAAUUCGCAGAAGCAGAAGCAAUGAGAUUUGGGAUCGAAAUAUGCAAACGGCACAGGUCUAUUUCCAUUCAUUAUUGAAUCAGAUACUAAGAAUGUUGUCAAUCUUGCUGCAGCACUUGAAAGUACUAGAAAAGAGAUUCUUUGAGUGAUAUAUCUCUGAUAUUUAAUUGUUGGCUAGACAACUGGCAAUUUCAAAUUUGUAUUCAUUCCUAGAAUAUGUAACGUGGAAGUUCAUAGAUUAGCUAAACUUGCAGUUAGCGAUCAGAAAGCCGUAUUGUUUGGAUUGAGAAUAUUCCUAUAGAUGUAAAAUCUUAUCAUUUUUGAAGAAUUUUUUACUUUGAAAAUAAAAUAAUUAAGGGCCAUCUCUAUCGUUGCGAAUUGUAACUCGUAGACUUUGCGGUCCACAUUAUGAAUUUAAAAUUCUUGCAUGAUUAAUCACCCACAUGAGCAUGCUCCCCCAACCUGCCACAUCAUGUUACCACUUCUUCCAAUCUGUGUAUACACACACACACACACACACACCAGUAUGGCCUCCAUGCAAAUCACAAACGCAGUAUCUAAUAUUGUUUGUCACUGGCAAGAAACAUGAAUAUUAAAGCCUUCUUUGUUCUCUCCACAGUGCUCUCAUUGCUUCUCUUGUUAUGUAUCAUUUGAUCAGUAAUAAUGUUAGGUUAAUCACAAAUUCAUUAUAUAAAAUAUUUUGUACAAAAUUGAUAACACAUAAUGUACAGUAUCGAUGUGAUAAGAACACCACACAACCCGAUCAUUAUUUUAUAUUUCCAUUCAACCAAUACUAUUUUAUCACAUCAGCUUUAAGAGUAGCUUAAUUAUAGCUAGCUCUAGCAUUACUCGUUUUGAUUCAAAUGAUUUUCGAAUUUUUAUCAUUUGCAUGGUCAAUAUAUAGUUCCUCUCUCUUUUUUUUAUUUUUUAUUAAUUGUUUUCCUUGUGUGCAGUUUGCCAACAUGAUAGAUGCAAGAAAAUACCAUGGAGACGAUUGGAGUAUUGUCGUGAAAAAUCAAGACAUGCCUUGGGAAUCAACUCAAGGUCUCAUUCCCGAAGUUCAAGGCCCGACCAUCUCUAAAACCAAAGCCUAUUGCCAUACACAUGAUGAUUCUGAGCACACCAUGGAGAAGCCUUUUGUCAAUAAGAACUUUGAGCUGAUGCCUGAUGUUUCAAUCUAUGACAACGGUAUUAAGCCAACCAAACAAAAGGCUUUUGCCAAGCACUUCGAGUUCUUGCCUGAUGUUUCAAUUUACGACAACGGUAUUAAGCCAACCAAACAAAAGUUCUUCGCCAAGGACUUCGAGCUCAUGCCUGAUGUUUCUAUUUAUGACAAUGGUGUAAAGCUAGCCAAACAAAGGUUCUCCGCCAAGGACUUCGAACUCAUACCUGAUAUUUCAAUUUAUAACAAUGGUGUAGAGCUAGCCAAACAGAAGGCAUUCGCCAAAGGCUUCGAGCUCAUGCCUGAUGUUUCAAUUUAUGACAAUGAUAUUAAACCAACGAAGAAGAGUUCAUAUGCCAAGGACUUUGAGCUGAAGGCUGAUAUUUCAAUUCAUGAACCGACCGAACAAAAAUAGGUAAUUAGCAUUACGGAUCUGCAGCCAGAUGCUACAAUUUAUCAUAAUUAAAUAGAUGAUCAUGCUUGUAAUCAGGCGCAGGAUGGAGUCUCUUACCAUAUUUAAUGUUCUAGAAGAGUAGCCACAUACGUGCAAUAACGCUUUCCUUGUUUGUGUGUGUUGUCAAAAGCGCUGUUUCUAAAGUAAUGUAAUAAGUGCUGAAAUAACCCAUGCAAUAAAAUCAUGUCAUGCGUCUUUAAUUUUUUUUUUCUCUCUCUCUUAAACAAUCUUAUGAUAGAUUAUUUACAAGUUAUAAUUUAUAAAGAGAGAAACUAUAUUAAAAUAAUGCUUUUUACAUAAAUAUUCUAUCCAUUAAUCUCGUAUAGCUAAUUAAGUUUGUUUUUUUUUUUUUUAUUUACAACGACAUCCUUAGAUGUUUAAAUUGUUUUUUUUUUAAAGGUAAAAGGGUUGGGUCAAUCAAAAUUAAUUUUUUCACCCUGAUCUCUUUGAGAUUCGAACUUAGGUGGCUAGCUAACUAAGAUUAUUUGAAACCAUUCGGUUGGGUUUCUAGGGGCCUUGGAUGUUUAAAAUUUGUAUUUUGAAUUGUUAUUCAGAUGGAACAAUAUAAUUAACUUUAAUUUCAAAGUCAAUUUGACCCUAUUUAAUUUUGAGAUGCUGUUACUUUUAAACUAGCUACUUGGGAAAAAAAAAAGUCGUAACCUUAAAAUAAAAAGUGAUACUGUGUGGAAAAUAUGAUUUUAAAUAAUAAUUUUGACAAAAUAGCAAAGAAAUAUUAUUUAAAUUAUUAUUACCAGCCAAACAAAAAUAGGUUUUUUAUUAUACAAAUGCAAGAUCAAAUCAACUUAAUUUUUGAGUUACAACAACUACUACUUACUAAACACUUUGAUGUCAAUACCAAAUAGGCCUCUUUUUUCCUCUCCCUCUCUAAUUUGUAAGACUACCCAACCAUAUAUUGUAUAAUAUUCAAUUAUUAUAUUAACUAGUUUUAUUUUCUUAUGAUCACAUGAUAUCUUUUUUUUUUCAAGAAUCUGAACAGAUAAUGGUUUUAAAGCUCAGAAGUAGAUCUGAUUCUAAAUAUUUGGAAAUUGAAAAAAAAAAAAAACUAAUUCACAUUUGCAGAAGAAGGUAUGUACUUGAUAACUUGAACGCCAUGAUGGUAUAUAAUUAAAUUUAACUAUUGUUAUAUUUUUAUUUAUUAAUCACUAAUUAUUCACGAUGAAUUUUAUUUGAAUAAGUUCAUAUCAUGAUAGAAUCUUAAUUCAAAUACAUAUGAAAAAAAAAAUCUAUGACUGCACUAAUAAGAUAUUUCAUUUAAUCAUGUGAUAUUAAAAUGAAAAUUAUGAUAGAUAAACUUAAAUUUUCCAUUUUCCCCCCUUUAUCAUCUCACAUGGGCCACUUCAAUUCGCUGAAAUCCUGAUGCUUCGGCCUCCAGAUGUAAAAGAACAUGAGUCACAUAUAGUAUUGGUAGAUGCGUGAAUGGAUCACAUCUCACUCAACCAACAAAUUGCAUGUCAUCUGGAAAAUGAUUUAAAUAAAUGAACAAAUACUCAGUCCUCUAUUUUAAGUUAAGUAUUUGUUUAUUCCUUAUAUUUUAAAAAUAUCUCAAAAUAAGUUGUAGUUAAAUAUAUUACAUUCUUAAUCUUGUUUUUGCUUUGCUUUUAUAAUAAUGCCCUUAUAAUAAUAUUCUUGACAUUAAUUAAUUUAUCUAUAAAAUUUUAAUUAGAAAAUUAACCAAUAAUUAUUUAGUAAUAAAUUAACCAAUAAAUAUUAGUACAAAAGAACUAAUAUUUUUUGUACAUGUGCGACAAUCGUGCUAAUAAUUUAUUUAUAAAUAAAAUUAAUAUUAGUCAACUUAAAGUAAUGCUUAUCAUCCUUGCAAUAAUUUUACUAAUAAUUAUUUUAUAAAAAAUUAAUUUACCAAAUUAAUCCUAAAAGUAAAAUAAUAACAUAAAAAAAAAUUACUGUAAAAAUUUUUAUGCUACUUUGAAGGCUAAUUUGAUAAAGAAUGGAACUACUAGCACUCCUUCAAAAUCUUUUUAAGACCCCUUUUUAAAUACACCCAAUCAAAUAAAUGAAAAAUUAUAUCACUUCUAAAAACAACCAUCUUUAUUCCACAAUUGUCCUUCAAUCUUAUCUCUCAUAAAAUGAUAAAAUUACAAAAAUAAAAAUCUUUUUGUGGAUACUAUUGCAAUAAUGAUCAUUAGCAUUCUUCACAAAUUUGAUUAACAAGUAUGGAAUGGUAUGUAACUUUAGAUUUCUAAAUUUUAACUUUUCUUUAUGUUUUGCAACAAAUAUACCUUCUAUUUUAAUAUAUGAUACCUAUUAAUUUAAUUUUUUUCAAAUAACAAAACUCACUUGUUCAAACAAACAAUGAGACCAAAAAAAGCAAGGGAAAAAAAGUGAACAAAUAAAAGGUAGAACUACUUGACACAUAAAAACUUUAAAAAAAAAUGAAAAAGAAGAGAUCUAGUAAAAGAAGUAUGAGUAUAAAAUAAGCCAGGCAAUGAAAGAAUCAUAGCUUUUCGACAAAUUCCAUGUCAAUGUCCUUUUGGAAUAAAUUUUUAAUGUUAUCUAUUUGAAUAAUGAUGGUGGUUGAGUUUCCACUUUCCAUUAUGCUCUCGAAUGUAAGCUUCUGAUGCGUCUUCUAAAAUAAUUCUAGAUAUUUUAUUUUAAAUUUAUUUGAAUUUGUAAGUUACCCUUUUAAUUGCGGUUAUCAUGUAAACAAUUGUUGCCAAAUCAUAAACAAAAUCCUGAGUAGGGACGAUAAUGGGACGGUUUUGAUCGAUGAUCCACUUAAUCUAAAUCUAAAUUUAUCAUAUUUGGAUCAGUAUAAAAUGAAUUUGGAGUGGGUACAUAUGAAUCUAGAUGAGUAAAUUCAAAACAAAUUUAAAGCACGUAUACAAAUCUAACUUAAAAUUCGGAUCCGUAUCCAUAUCUAAUUAGAAAUCUUUUAAUUUUAUUUUAUUUUUAAAAGUAUUAAACUAUCGAUGGUUUAAUACUUUUACAAUCAAAUUAAACUUAUACCUAGCUUACUGAAAUCAAUACCACAUUUAUGAGAUGCAAUAUAUUAUCAGUUUUAUAUGAAAUUCAAAGUAUUAUUUUUAAUUUUAUUUAAGAUGAAUUAUGUGUUUUAGUUGAUAGUAAGACGUUUUUUUCUCAAAUAUUUUUGUGCUCUUAUUAUUCUUAUGAGGCUUGAAAGUUUAAUAAGAUAAAUUUAUUAAUAUUCUAUUAUAAUAUAUAAAAUUUUAAAAUUAAAAUUGAUAAAUCCAAGAUAGAUUUGGAGCAAAUCCGAACCUUUAUUUUAAAUUUGAACUUAAAUAUACAGUAAAAAUCAUAAAUCUAUAAUGAAUUUAGAGUAAAUACAAAUCUCAAUUUUUAUUAUUAAUCAAGAAUUAGAACAGAAUAGAUCCAGCUGAUAUAUAUGUCCCAUUGUCAUCCCUGUGACUGAUGAAAAGAUAUAGGAAAAUAAACAGGAGUUUAAUAAGCUAGACAAUAAAAGAAUCAUAUAUAGCAAUGAUUGAUUCUUUCUUCCUAUCCUUAUGAAAUCUUUCUCAAUGUCUUUUCUACGAAAUCUUUUUUAAUGUCCUUUUCGAAAAUAUCACCCUUCAGCCAAUGACUUUGAGCUGAAGGCUGGUAUUUCAAUUCAUGAACCAACCGAACAAAAAUCGUUUGUCAACAAUAUGGAUCAGCAGCCAGAAGCUACAAUUUAUCAUUAUUAAAUAGGUGAUCAUGCUUGCAACCAGGCGCAGGACAGAGUCUCUGACCAUAUUUAAAUGUUGUAGAAGCGUAGCCAUAUAUAUGAAACGUUUCACUUUGUUUUCGUAUGUUAUCAAAGGCUCAGUUUUAAAAGUAAUAUUGUAAUAAGUAUUGAAGUGUCCCAUGCAAUAAAAUCGAAGUGUCCCAUGCAACAAAAUCAUGUCAUGCGUCUUAAAUUUAUUUUGCCCUCUUAUUUAUCCUAGAUGGUAAAUACUGUUAUGAUAGAUUAUUCAAAAGGUUAUAAGGGGAGAAGAUAAGUUUAUUUUUUUUUGGGGAAAAACAUUUCCUUGCUGAAAAAAGCAAAAAUUUACAUAAGUACUGCAAUGUCUGUGGGCGGCUCUUCCAACUGAAUAAGAUCGUUAAUCAAAGAGAGUGCUAAUUUUGCUAACUGAUAAGAAACUGUAUUACAAUUUCUAAUUUCUGAAAUGAUCCAUUCAAUCUCCUUUCUACUUGAUAAAACGCCCGUAAUUAGAUGGACAAGAUUUACUGAAUCAAAUUCCACAAUAAAAAGAGUUAAGCAUAAAUCUAUCGCCGGCUUGAUGCCUUCUAGGAUAGCUUCAGCCUCUGCAAACUCGAUGUCGCUAAGAAAAGAUUUCUUGUGGCUGAGCCAGCUAUAAAAUCUCCCUUGAAAUUUCCUAUAAUUGCACCCAAACCUGUAAUUCCAUUGGAGAUGUCAAUCGGUGCAUCAACGUUCAAGUUGUACCAAUGAUUAUCCGGUGGAAUCCAACUAACACCCUUCUUGGUUGGAGGGACUAGAAACUCUUGAAUUGGAGAGCCUUGAGCAGCAGUGUACGAAUUCAAAACAGCUUCAGCCUUGCAAAGAACACUCUUUGGGUCCAUCUUUUGAUUCUGAUAGAGCGCUAUGUUCCUAGAAUGCCAAAUAGACCAUGUAAUCAUCCCAAACGAUGGGUAGUCCUCUUUUGACAGCCAAGAUUCCAAAUUCUUUGCAAAGAGAGCAAAAUCCAUAUGAGGGUUAUUCGUUACAUAAGCAGCCAAAGUUGACAACUUCCACACCUUGAUCGCAAACUUAUAGCCAACUAACUCAUGAAAGGUACCCUCAAUAGCACUAAAACAUCGAUGACAAUUUGGAGAAUCCACUACUUUUCAUUUCAAAAGAUUAUUUGAUGUAGAGAGUAUAUUACGUAGAGCUCUCCAAAAAAAAGAUCGACUUUAGAUGGAAUGGAUAAAAGCCAAGCGGGAUACCCCAAUUAGCAUAGCCAAAUGAACUUAGAGGGGGAAUUAGGAUAAGUAAGACUAAGGGCCACUUGUAACCACUCUUAAAAGUUUACAAAUUUAUUUUGUACAAACUGAUUUGACAUUAACUUAUUGAUUAAAUAAAAAUACAACAACAUGUUUUUAUAUUUAAAAUAUAUAUAUUCACAUAUACGAAGGUAUAUACUUGAACAAUAUGAGUAAUACAUGUGAAUUAAAAUCAUCUCCUAAUCUAAGCUCCAUUAAUUAAUUUUAAAAAAAACUUGUCACAUGUUUUUAGUAUAGUGUAUAAUUAUUGUUAUGUUUUUAUUUAUUAAUUUCCAAUUACCUGCUAUAUAUCUUACUCAACAAUGUUUUGAUCAUGAGAGAAUUUUAAUUCAAAUACAUAUGAAAAAAAAAAGAAGAAGAAAUCUGAGACCAUACUAAUAAGAGAUUUCCUUUCAUGUGAUUUUAAGAUCAAAAUUAUGAUAGUAUGCAAACUUGGUUGCGUUUAGUAUUGUUCUUUAAACGAUGUUUUUGUAUUUAUUUUAUAAUAUAGAUAUGAUUAAUAUUUGAUGAAUUUGAAAUUUUGUUUGGUAUAUAGUAUAUAGUAUGAAUUUGACCACUAAAUACUUAAUAAUUAUAUUUAUAUACAAAAUUAAAAAAAAAUAAGGAUUUCUCUACCUUACGUUUAAUGUAAGGUACAUCCCCUUACAAAUUGAGCUAUAAGUCCCACUUGAGCCCACAGCCAAUAGAGAGGUUGUACCUUACAUUAAAUGUAAGUAGAGAUGGCCAAUGGGUCGGGCGGCACAAGGCACAGCACGUGUCCGUACAACAUGGCACGACACGAGCACGUUUCGGUAGGGCACGAAGCACGGCACGGCACGCAAAAAGGCACGUAAUAAGCACGCUUCAUUGAUAGGCUAAGCACGUAGCCCGUGGGCCAAAGUAUAUCAAAAUAAAAAAUUUUAAUGAAAAAUAAAUAUAAAAUAUCAUGAUUUUAUAAAUAUCUUGAAAUUAAAUUUUUUAAUAUAUUUUUUUAGCAUAGGUUUUUUAAAAUUAAUUUAAGUCCUAGUUUAAAUAAAUAUUCUAAUUUUUUAUGUUUAUAAUUUAUUAAAUGGAUAAAUAAAUAUCAUGAUUUUAUAAAUGAUAAAUGAAAAAUUUUACGACAUUAAUAUUUCAUUUAUGAAAUCAUAACUUAGUUAAUAGUUAAUGGAGAUAUGUUUCAUUUGUGAAUGAAAUAUUUUUCAUAUUUAUGCACAAAAAAAUAAAAUUAUGAACAAAAUAUUUUUAUGAUAAAUUAAAAAUUACAUUUUCAUUCAAUGGAGUUUAUGUGCAAUUAUAAUAUUAGUAGCUCAAAUAAAAUUAGAUGUAAUUGUUAUUCUAGAAUUGUAAUUUUAUUUUCAUUAAUUAUUACUAUGAUCUAUGAAAUUAUUAUUAUUAUUGUCGUUGUUGUUGUUGUUAUUAUUAUUAUUAUUAGGCUGGUAGGGUUAAAAAAGCACGCCAGGCACGUGGACUUUUUUAGGCAUACUGGACAUGUGGACAAAGAAAAAAGGUUGGUGGGCUUUUUUUGGGCACGGCCCACGGCACGAGUUUGGACAUGUGGACAAAAAAAAAGUUGGUAUGGGUUUUUUUUAGCACGAACCACGGCACGGUACGGCACGAGUGGGCUCGUGCCGUGGGCCGUGCCGGCUCACGAGCCCGCGUGGGCUGACAUUUUGUGGGCCGUGCCGUGCUGGCCAUCAUUAAAUGUAAGGUAACAGCUCCCAAAAAAUAAAUGAAAGAGAGAGGCAACAUAGCAUAAUACGGGGCCGGACCCACAUCUUCAUAAAACUAUGUCAUAAAAGCAGUGGUAGUUCCUAUGAACAAAGUGAAGAAUAAAGAUUUGAUGCUGUCUAAUUAUCUUCGUUAACAUUGUAAAAUAGAUAUGGUUUGCUUUCAUAAUAAUAAAAAAUGUUACUGUUACUGAGGCUUAUCAAACAUUUUUUUUCUAUUCUUAUAAAAUAGAAAAUGAGUGAUGAAAAACAAUACCAUACAGCCCAAAUUUUUUUCCAUUUUUACCCCUUUAAUCAUAGCCUAUCGGCCUCUCCAAUUAGUUGAAAUCUUGAUGAUUCGACCACAAGUUGUAAGAGAAAUUCUAGAAUAUAUCUAUUGUAUUAUAACUAAUUAAUGCAUGCACGACAUGCGUAAUUGAGUUUAAUACAACCACCACUUGCAUGAUAGUUUACAAAAUAAAUGCACACAUGUCAUGAUAUUAUUUGCUUGUUGUAUGGGUGACAUAGUACAACAGAUGUAUUCUAGAAUUUCUCCAAGUUGUAAAAUACCAUUUGAGUCACAUAUAUUAUUGGUAGAUGAGUAGAUCGCAUCUCCCUCAACCAACGAAUUGCAUGUCAAUGUGAAAAUUGAUUUAACUGUUUAGUCUGUUUUUCAAUGAGACGUAUUUCGUUCAAACUUUUACCUUCAAUCAAUGGGACCGAAGAAAGUAGGAAAAAAAAAAUUAAACAAAUAAAAGGUAGAACUAGUUGACAGACAAAAUUUUAUCAACAUUUUGAAACAACCAACAUUAAAAAGAAAUAAAAAAAUAAAAGAAGAGAUCUAGUAAAAGAAACAUGAGUUUAAUAAUUAAGCUAGAAAAGGAAAGAAUCUUAGUAAGCUUUUCAACAAGAUCCUUUUCAAUGUCCUUUUCGACAAAAUCUUUAUUGUCAAUAUAUUGAAAAAUGAUGGUGGUUGAGUUGUCACUAUGUAUCUCGAAUUUAAGCUUCUGAUACGGUCUUUUAAAAAUAAUUCUGGAUAUUUUAUUUUAAAUGGUAACUUUUAAUAGUGGUUAACUUGUAAACAAUUGUUGCCAAAUCAUAAACAAAAUCUUAUUGUCUCACGGAAAGAUACUGGAAAAUAAUCAUGAGUUUAAUAAGCUAGACAAUGAAAGAAUAAUAUAUACAUGUUAUAUAGUAACGAUUGAUUAUUUCUUCUUACCGCUAAGAAAUCUUUUUCUAUGCCUUUUUCGACAAAAUCUUUAAUGUUAUAUAUUGAAUAAUGAUGGUGAUUAAGUUUCCAUUAUGCAUCUCUCAUGUAAGCCUCAGUCCCUAGAAUUAACUAGCUCUCAGGAUUCCUGCAUCAGUUAACUACAGCUUCCAGGUUUAUCAAUAAUUAUGGUACACCAUCCUCCAAUAUCUGUGCAUAUAUAAUUUUUUAAACAGGAAUUUUGGAGUUUGGAUCAUAUUAAAAUAAAGGAUAAAUUAAAAAAUAAGACAAACACAUACUCUAACAUAUUUUAUUUUAUCAUGUAAUAUAUUGAAUUUCAUAUUUUUCUGUCUUUUUAGCUUGUUAUAACGAUCCUUUAUAAGAAAUUAAAUGUAUCUUGAUUCUCUCCCACACUAACUUUAGAAGAGAAAAUUAUUUAAUUUGCUUUAUUCUUUUACUACUACUGCGUCAAAAUAACCAACAAUUGACGACAACAAUUAUUGAAUAUGUAACAAAUUUACAUACAUUUUGACGACAUCUUUACUUGUUUGUGUUGGCAUCCUUAUUGGCAAAUUACAACAUCGUUCAGUCUUCUUAUAAUUAAGCAAUUGUCUAUGUAACAUAAAUUAUGUAUUAAGAACAUCAAUAUGGCGUGGAGCAUUGCGCAUAGAAGAGAAGAAGUAAAGUCUUAGGCGUCUACUCCAUGUGGGAAACAUGGGAUUAUCACAAAGAGAGAUUUAAAGAUUAUAACAAAAGAGAGAUUUUAACUAACUUGUUAUGGAGGGAUGAGAUAACGAUCAAGUUGGCAUAAUCUGUAGAGAUAACGACGAGUUUGGAAUAAUCAUGUGGUGAUAAUAUUAUGAUAUUCUGCCUUUUGAUCAACUGAGCACGCUCCCUCUCACAACACAACUCUCUUCAUAAGAAUUGGCCAACAUGGAUUGUCACUUUUCAUGUUAAUUUGAUAUUACCUUGAAUGGCAUAUUAAUUUGAUUUGAAAAAAUGGAACGAGAGUAGAGGAAAAAAGGAGAAUGAAAAGAAAUAAGAAAAAAAAUGAUGAAUUUCAUAUAAAAUCAAAUAAUGAAAUAAUAAAAUUGAGGUCGAUUCUCUUUUUUUUCUCUUUUUUCUCUAAUAAAAAUAUAUCAGAUUAAUGACAAAGUAUUGAUAUUUGAUCCCCUCAGUUUCUCUUAUUAUCUCCCACUUCUCUCAUUUUAAUUUGAAAAGUCAAAAAUACCUACCAAAAUAAUUUUAAGUUUUAAAUUUUACCCUUUCUUCUUUCUCUCCUCUCUCUUAUUCUCCCGACUUCCCUUCAUCUUCGUUUUCUUUAAAAAUUGAAGAUUAGUACACUUUCCUUCAUUUUUUGAUCUUUCUGUAUCGAUGAGAGCAAUAAUUGACAUCAUCAAACAAUCCUUUUCUACCCAAAUCAUGAUUAUAAACAAAAGUAAAAAAUAGCAAUAUCAUGAUAUGGAAUCUUGAUCAUAUCUCAUGAUCCCUCUUCAGCUUCUAUGUUAAUCAAAAAGAAAAAAAUAUAAUCGAUUAAAGAUUAAAUUUAAAUUUUAAAAUGUUGUCCUUUUUUUGGGGGGGGGGGGGGGGGGGGAUAAAAAAGAGUUUGAGAUCAAGAUGACAGUGUUGCAUAAAUAAUUAUUAUUAUAAUAAUUAAAGAAACGGCUUGCAUGUCCACUUAUUGCUAAGAAGAGAAGUGGUUCGCGCCGGCCAGUUCCAAGAAGACAAGUGGUGGGUGUCAGUGCAUGGUUAGUAAUUAUUGGGGACUAGAACUGAUUGCCAAGAGUGAGGGUGCAUUUAAUAUUGAGGUUGAGUAACUUUUAAGAUACUGUACUAAAGUGUUUGGUAAACACUAAUUACGGUAGCUUGGAAACUAUGGUGGUAUUUGUUUUUUAACUUAAUGACUUAAAGUGACUUAACUUAAUUAAUUAAGUUAAUUAGAGGUGUUUGUUUUUAUAACUUAAUGAGACUUUUUAGAUAAUUUUGACUUAAUAAAAUAAGCUAAUUUUUUUGGCUUUUUACUUAAUGGAGAAAUCUGAAUUAAGUUAAUUACUUGCUAAUGUCAAAAAUAUCUCUGUUUUAUAAUUUAUUUUUUAUGUCUAUCCCAAAACUCACCCAUAAAUAUUUACCCCACAUAAAAAUAUCCCUGUUUUUUCUUUCUUAUAUUAUAUACGAUAAAAUUUGAAAUUUAUGGUAUUUUAUAUAUUAAAAUUCUAAAAUAAUUAUGUAUUCACUUGAAUAUAGUUUUGCUUAUAAAUGUUAAAAUAUUAUGGUAUUUAAUAUAUUAUUUAUUUGACAUUCAAAUUUAAUAAGGCUACAAAUGUAAAAGUACAUAUUUUCAGCUUUUUAAGUUGAAAAAAACAAACAGCUUAAUACUUAUUUUCCGAGAUUCAUACGAAAAAACAAACAUAUUAUUCAGAUUCAGACAUUCAGAUCUAUUAAGAAUUCAGACUAAUUCAGGUUUAUUCAGAUUUUAGAUAAAAAAAACAAACGCCACCUAUGUUAAUAUGAUUUUUUUCUUAUAUAAUAAAAAAUUUAUUAUAUCUUUAAUAAUUUUGUCAAAAUUAUUAUUUAAAAUUUAUAUAUACUAUAUAUUAUUAAUUUUUGUUUCAUAUUUACAGUUUUUUUUCCAUAGCAGUUAUAACUUAAAAGGUAUAGCACCUCAAUUUCAAACAGGACCUGAAUCUUGUUCAACAAGCAACAGAUUUAGCACCGAUGAGAGAAGAACAAAUAUUAAUUUUAUUUUUUUUAAUGAGGGCAAUUCUGAAUAUAAUUAUAACUAGUAAAAUGGGAGCUAACGAGAUAAAUUGAGAGGUUUAAUAUCUUUACUCUUAAUGAUAAAAAUAACCACAUCGAAGUGCACUGUUAAAUAAAUAAGUGCCAUCACUAUUUAUGCAAUUUACAUGAUAUUAUGAUUAAUCUUGCAUAUGAUUAUUUAUUAAUAAAAAAUAUGUAACAUGUGCUAGCACAUACUAUUUUCCUCUAAAUUUCUUAUACCACAUUUUUUCCUAUAAAUAGAAAGAGGCACACGUCUUCCACGCAAAUCACACAAGUAAGACUUAGUAUAAUUAGAAACAUGAAUCUCAAAGCUUUCUUUGUUCUCUCCGCAGUGCUCUCUUUGCUUCUCUUGGUAUAUAUGCAUCUCUUUUUUAGGAAAAUUUAACAUAAAGGAUACCUAAUUAAGUUAGUUUUGAUGAGAUUCUCUUUAUCAUUUGUUUGAUCUAAUUUUUUUUUUUUCCUCUUGUUCAGUUUGCUAACAGAACAGAGGCCAGAAAAGAUCAGGGAGAAUAUUGGAGAGGCUUCGUCAAAGAUAGCGACGUGCCAGAAUCAAUUCAAAUUCAUGUUCGCCAGGAUCCUGUCUCAACUGCCUCUGAUGCCAAAGCCCACUGCAAAGAACCUGAAGAUUUAGAGCACAAGAGAGAAAAGACUUAUGUCAAGGAUUCUGACGCAACGAUUGAUAUCUUAGUUUAUCACAACAGUAUUAAACCAACUGAACAAAAGUUAUUUGGCAACCACUUCGAAAGCCCGGAUGCUACAAUUUACCACAAUGACAUUAAACCAACAGAACAGAAGUUAUUUGGCAACCACUUCGAGUCAAGCCCGGAUGCUACAAUUUACCACAAUGACAUUAAACCAACAGAACAGAAGUUAUUUACCAACCACUUCGAGUCAAGCCCGGAUGCUACAAUUUACCACAAUGAUAUUAAACCAACAGUACAGAAGUUAUUUGCCAACCACUUCGUGUCAAGCCCGGAUGCUACAAUUUACCACAACGAUAUUAAACCAAUUGAAAUGAUUAAAUCUUUUGUUAGCAAAUUCUUGUCAAACCCUGAUGCUACAAUUUAUCAUGAGUAACCAGACUCUGCUUUCAAUCGUGUGGAGAGAGCCCGUUAUCCAUCUGUAAUAUUUGUGCGUACGUGUGAUGCUCUCUUUCUAUAAAUAAGUUAUGAGGAGUGCGGUUGUUUAAUGCUCUAAGGCACAAGCUUUGUAAGAAAGUGUGUUUUUAUUGUAAAAUUGAAUAAAAAUUUGUGCCAAGUUAAUUAAUUAUCCCUUUUCUAGUGAUUUUUUUUUUUCUAAUGCUUUGAUUAUUUCCACAAAAUCUUUUCGUAAGGAAAGGGCCUAGCUACUUGAAUCAAUUUUCUCCAUUUCAACGUUAUUAGUAUAAUAAUAAUACAAAAAAUCAUUAAUCUCAGUAAUUGAUAAACAAUAUUCUUUGCUAUUAUAUUGAGAAUUAAUUCCUAAUCUGAGAAAAUAAAUUAACAAUUAAAAAAUAAUAAAAGAUCGUGAACUACUUAGAUUUAUGGCCCUCUCACAUGUCGAUGGUACUUUACAUAAUUAGAAGCCUUUUUAUUAAUUUUAACAGACACCAUUCAAUCAACUUUGGUGACAUACUGAUAAUUGAUGCAAAAUUCUAUUUGGGGAAAAAAAAGUAAAAGAAAGAACUCCUAUUUUAGCUCUUAAAUCUUAAUUUUUCAAAUUUUAGAAGGAUUAAUGAUCAACAUUAUUUAGCCUAUUUUAUUUAAUUUAUAACUAUAGAAAUCCUAAAGCUGAUGGAGUAUACUUAAUACCUUAUUUUCCCCAAUCACAACCGUCUAAAUUCCUGAAACAUUUCAUUUCUUAAAUUUCAACGGUACAGAUUAAUUCUCUUACGAAAACUCAGCGACUUAUCCUGGACCGCCGCUACUAAAAUACAUAAGAGUAAAAUACUAUAGUAUUCCGGGACAAAUUUAUUUCUUCCACGACGCAAUAAAAUGCUGCGUCCAAUAACAUUCUGUUUCCUAAAGCUUACCCAAAUCGCAGAUAGGAACAUGGUUUGCAAUAAUUUUUCUAACAGAUCCUGCCAUCAAAUUCGUUAAAAACUGGUUUAAUUUUUAUUAAAUAAUUUUAAGUAAAUUGAAUAAGAUAAAAAAUUUAAAAAGUUAUUAUUUUAUAAUGAAAAAGCUAGAUCAUCCAUACGUAAUAAAAAAUAGUACGCAUUCACAACUUAAUGCAAUAUAAUCUAGACAACCAAAUAUAUUUUAUGUAUUUUUUACAAAUUGCUUUUAGUAUAAGCAAAUAAGGUGGUUGUCUAAACAUUCAUAUUUUUGGAAGGUCUCAAUUUUUAAUAUUUUCUUAAUAAUUUUCUAAUUAAUAAAGAUAUUUUUUUAACUUAUGUAUUGUAGAAAAACCUAUUAGACAUUUUUAUUAUUAACAACUAUACUACAAUUAAGAGUCUUUUUUGUAUAGAAAAUCAAUAUUUGUAACCUUAUUGAUAAAGAGAAAUGAUUAAUAAUAUUUUUAACCAUUAAUUCAUUCAUUAUUAGUUUUCUCAAGAAAAAAAGUUAAAUUCUUUACCUUUUCAUUUUCCUAAAAAAAACUUGAUUAUUUAACAUUGAAAUCUUUGACUUUUAUUAUUCCUUUAGUUUCUAUUAGAACCUUAUAAUAUAAAAAAUCAAUAGAUAAAAAAAAUUUGUUCCUCCUUUCUUUACGAAGAAAAUUAUUAUAUUUAUUGGUUAAUUUAAAAAAGAAAAAUUAGUUUCUUGAAGUAUGAAGACCAUAUCUAUUAUCUGAUAAUCAAUUCAUGAUCUCGACUUUCUAGCUAUAUUCUGUCAUUCUAAAUAUUUUAUUUGAAAAUAAUAUUGUUUUUAUUUAUUUGUUUGUUUGCUUUUUAAGAGUUCUGAUGGAAGUAAAAAAAACAAAUCUUUUUUACUAAUUUUUUAGGUUUUUUUUAAAAGAUUUUUUAAGAUAUUUUUUUAUUACUGUUAAAAUUUAAGAAUUAAAGAUAGAAUGAAUUUUUGAGUCUUUUCAUAUUUCUUUGAGUAUUGAAAUUACAAAAUAAAAUAUGGCCUUACAAAAAAAAAAUUCGCCUAAGACCCCAUAUACUCUAAUGCCGACUCUGGGUGAAAUUAUUGAUUUUAUUAAUAAUAAUAUGAUGUAUACUAACCAAUGUACAAAACAGUAGUGGGUGACAUAAAUUAGAAUUGUGUUGCAAAAACAAGAGGUUUGAGUGAAAAAGAAUUUACAAACUCACAUUACAAUGUUAUAUAGUUGCCAUAUGUCUCACAUUUUCAAAUGAACAAAAUAUAAUAAAUACAGUAUAAUCUUUAUAACUGAAUAUUCAAUAGAUUAAUAAUCUCUACUGUGUAAUAAUUUUUUAUGGUCAUGACUUAGGCCAAUAGGUUAAAUUAAUAAUUGCAAUAAAUUAAUAAGAUGAUAUUUUUUAUGAAAACCCUUAUAUAACUAUGUGGCUCCAUUCAUAUCAAAAUUAAUAAUUUUUUAAAAUUAUAAAUAUAAUUGACAAUAAUUUUUUAUUUAUUAAAAUGUGAGUCGAUUAUUAUCUUGUUCCCUUAUUACUUCUUUUCCUUGAAAUAUAAAUCUAUUUGAAUCUCGUAUCUAAUUUUUCUUAUUACAUCUAAAAGUUUUGGGAUUGAAUUCUUGAAUUAUAAUAAAAAAAAAUUAUGAAGUGCUUUCGUACACAUAACUGGCUCCAAAGCAAUUGUAUCAUUCUCAACUUUUAUCAUCGACAUGAUUUUAAGUGAUGUCAGCAGUGGUUUAAUUUAUUCUAAACUUAAAAUCUCUCAACUUACAUCAUUUUUAUUAUGAUAAUCCAAGAGGUAAUUAAGUAGAUAAAUACAAUACAGUUAUUGUUUUGGUUUAUCUAAUAUCUAUUUAGUAGAUUAAUUCAUAUUCAAUAAAUUAGAUUAGUAAAAUAUAACGAAAUUUUAGUUAAUUAAAUGUACGUUUAUUGAACUAUAAAUGAACUCUAGAAAUUAAUAAAUUAUUAAUUUACUAAUUACAUAAUAAUUCUUUUAAUUAAUAAAAUUUAAAUAGUCCCAAUGUUAUUAAUUCAUAGAAGUUAUAUGAAAUAUGUGUCAACUAUAUAAUAUCGUAGUUUGUAAACAAAACAUAACUCUUUUGUUAAUUGAAUACUAACGUAAUGCUAUAGAAAUAACAUAUGUGACCAAUUUGCAUAAAUGUAUACUCUCUGUAUCUUAUUACAAAUGCUUUAUAAAUCAGUGACUCAGAUGUUAUUAUCUAAACUCGUGGAAGCAUUACUUUUGUCCCUGCCAAUAUCAUUCAGAUAAAUAGUUGUUGUGCGUUCAGAUUCACCAGGAAUGCUUACGCAAAACAUAGACUGAACCCAAGAGCUUCGAAACUCGAAACUGAACCAAAUCAUUCUAAUGGAAGAGAAACGCCGGGAAGCCAGAGCGCAACCGGCGGCUACGAGCUCGGCCGCAGCUGGAGCCGAGUCAGCGGCAUCCGAGCCGGCUUCGCUCGGCGCCGAGCCGGAGCGCACAAAAGGAAAGCCUCGGCGCUCUCAGCGACUAACGCUUCAUCCACGCCGUCGAAGCGCAUGACUCGCGAGAAGAAUUUAGUUGCUCACACUCCGAUCUACAACCAUAACGUUACAUCUUGACAUUUGUAGUAAGAACGUGAGAGGAUACCUGGAGUGUAUUGGGAUUUGGGCGGAAGAGAAAGGAGCCCUUGGAAUUGGGAAACAAAUGAAAUUAUCUGCAUGGUCCUUGUACUCGUGGAGGGACUGUAACUUCUGAACCAACAAUGCUGAAAAUGCAGGGUCAAAAAUCAACAUUAACUUGAUGAAUAAUUGUUUGAAAAAAAAAAAAAGCAAGAAAACUUGAUUAAUAUAAAAGAGAGCAAAGGAGCACAACCAUACAGAAGUUGUAUAAAGGAAUAUUAAUCAAGCUUGAUUAAUAUUCUUCUUCUAUCCAACACCACAAGAUGAAACACAGUAUUCCUGUUGCAGUAUAUGGUGAGAACUGUGAAGUGCAGGAAGUAGUUUCCUAAGAGAGAUGAUUGAAUGCUCUUAAUUUUUUUUUUCAGAAAAUCAUUUUAUUUUUAAUAAAAGUUUAAUUUUUUUUAAUAAAAAUUUUUAUUUAUUUUUUAUUAAGUUGUGUCUCAUAUUUACUAAUAAAGGAAGUUAUUUGGGUAUAUAAGUAGGAUGUCUCAUCUAACAUGCUAGUAGGAUAAAUCUCUCAUCUAAUAUGCUAGUAUUUUGGGUUAAAUACCUAUAAAUUCUAAGCCGAGUCCACAACAGUCCCCAAAAUAACUGGAUUUAAGUCCUAGCUACACCAGUAGAUUGAAUAGAAGUGCAAAUAAGUUUAACUUUUUUGUCAUUCAUUUUAGUCUUUUUUUUUUUUUUUUUUCACAUACAUUGAAAAAGGAUAACUCUGUCGUGAUUGCCAUGGCAGAGCCUAUUUCAAACGAUGGUGUAUGCUAAAGGAAAUUAUCAUGAGAUGAGUGAUAAACCAUACAAUCAGUAGCUACAGCCCACGAUUAAUCAGCCACAUGGCCACAAAUAUUAUUGGCGGCAAAUAUAUCAACAAAAUCACAAUAAAGAUGAGCAUCCUCGAUUCCAUUCCUUAAUGUAAAUAGGACAGCCUGUCUAGCCAUUACUUUAAGAGAUUUGGCUGGCUUUGACACUUGUAUAUAAGCUUGUAACCCUCUCAUUCUUUACAAGAAAUAAGAUAAUAUUUUCAGCUUAAUAAUUCUUUUCAGUGAGAUCAAAGAAAUGUAAAGAGAUAUAGUCACUACUACAAAAAUGUAAAACAAUGACCCAUAUGUUAUGACGGUUCUUCUAAACAACCGUCAUUAAAGAUAUUUAAUGACGGUUAUUAUGUGAACAGUCAUAAUAUAUACCACUUAUAAUGACGGUUAUGUAAUAAAACCGUCAUUAAAUGUCAAAUAAAAUUUACACUUAGUUUUAAUGACGGUUCAUUUAUAAAAACCGUCAUUAAAAGUCACUAUUUUUAAUGACGGUUCUUAUAUACAACGGUCAUUAUAUGUGUAGUUAAAAAUAAUAUUACUUUUAAUGACGGUUUUUUAAUAACCGUCAUUAAAAAUAAUAAUUUUUAAUCACGGUUUUUACAUAUAACGGUCAUUAUAUGUGUAAUUAAAAUAGUACUACCUUUAAUGACGGUUUUAAAAAAACCGUCAUUAAUAAUUUUUAAUGACGAUUUUUACAUUAAACGGUCAUUAUAUGUGUAAUUAAAAUAAUACUACCUUUAAUGACGGUUUUGUUAAGAACCGUCAUUAAAAAUAAAUUUAUUUUUAAUGACGGUUCUUAACAAAACCGUCAUUAAAAAUCAUACUUUUUAAUGACCGUUAUAUAUUAUAACGGUCAUUAUAUAUAUAAUUAAAAUGCUUUUAAUUUUAAUGACGGUUCUUUAAGAACCGUCAUUAAAAAUUGACAUUUUUAGUGACAGUUGUAUAAAACAACCGUCAUCGUAUAUAUUGAUAUAGUUAUAAAAAAAAAAAAAAAAUUGGCCUUAUACUGAACACCAAAUCCCUAAAAUUACAGAUAAUUUGUAAACAUUAAAAGUAAUGGCGCAAGCACGCACGCCGCCGGUACACUUAGCCCAUGCAGCAGCAACCGAGCACGGUAGCAACAGGCCACCAGCAGUCGCUCUCUCUCUCACGCACACGCAGCAGCAAGCCAACACCAAUAGCCCCUCUUUCUCAUGCUCACUCUCUACUAUGCCCUCUUACGUACUCAAGAAAACUCUAACCCAUAUCCAAACCCUCGCCGUCGAAGAAAACCCAAUCCUUAAUGGCUUGAAAUUAAAGCCUCCACCGUCAAUCACCAUCGAACCAAAUAAACUCUAGCCUUACCAUCACUCUUCGUUUGACUCGCUGAAGAAAGCACUCUAUUAGGUGAGUCUCUGUUGUUUGAUAAUAUAUCUGCACUCUUUGUUGGCCGAAGCUUUUAGACAAUUGCUUUGAUUCAAUUGCUUCGAUUGGUUAGUUCUCUGUGAUUAAUUAGUUAGUUACUUUUAAUUUCAUAUUUUCAUCUCUAACAGUGAAUUUGGGAGUCGAUUUCUCUGUCGGAUUUGUAAUUUUUGCUACAGAUCAAAAACAUCUUGAAGGUGUUUUCAUAUCUAACAACUUGAACUAUCAUUUAUUUUGUCUUGUUAAUGUUCAAUUUUUUUUUCUUUUUUUAUUAGUAUGACAAUUAGUCGAAUGUGCUUGCACAUAAAACAAUCUUUUAACUUGGCGUUGGAAUAUUUGUUUUGAGUUGUGUCCCCUUAAUCAAUGACCAUACAAAAGUUCCCCAUGAUAAAGUGUUUAGCCCUAUUAAUGCCAUAAAGUCUUGCUCUCAAUUUUUCUGAUUAUGCCUAUGGAUUGAUUACCUAUUUCAUUUACAAAUUCAAUUGGCAAAUGUACAAUGCCUGCAUGACACUCACAUUUGGGUUAUGAUGGUAGUCAUUAUGAGGAAGAAUGUUAGAAUAACAUCAGGGGAAACAUCUGGGAGAAGGUAUGUACUGUCAAGCUCUUUGUUAGAAUCAUCACGAAAUUUAUAUUGGAUCUUGGCUGUUCUAUGUGAUGCAUUUUGGAUUUGCUCUUACUAGACAUGCAAAAACCUGUAAAAUGUAUUUUUUUUUUCCAUUUUAGAUUUACUAUCUAGUAUCUUGUAGGUUUAAUCUAAAAUAGAAACCAUUGAGGAUACUGGACACAAUUCUAAUGAAGAGAAAAGAUGUUAGACUUUAGUAUUCAACCUUUUUUUUUUAGCCAUAUUUCUAGACCCCAAGUUUAUGUCAUGAUAAUUGUGUGAUUGAUAAGAUAUUUUGGUUUUGGACUUUAUCUCAUGGAUUUAGAGUUCGAUUAUAUUUGGAAGUGGAAUAAUGCAUUCAUUUACAUAUGAUGUUUGAUGAAGUUCCCAUAAAAUUAAUUCAAUUAUAUAUGUUUAUGGUUCUAAGGAAGCGGGGCAAAAAUUUUAUCAGUGGGUUGAUUUCACUAGUUUAAGUUAGUAAAGCAAAGAAAUUGUCUUUAUGCACUUUAACUUUCCUCCAUUUAAGGUGAAAAAAUUAUUGAAGCUUUUAGAAGUGAAUUGUUCAUUUUGUUUGUGCACUUAUGCAGAUGGAUUUACUUUUGGCUGCUUAACCCUUCCUCACUUAUAUUUUUUCAGUUUAAAUUGCAGUGUUUUGCUGCUGUGCAACAGCACAAGAGGCUGUUUUAUUGUUGUUUCUGUAAAAACACAGCACCAGGAAGCGUCCAGGUAAUGUUUCGCUGCUGUUAUGCAGUAAAAACAACACCUGAAAGUUUCUAGGUGCUAUUUUUACUGCUGUUUACGCAGAAACACAGCACCUAAAAGUGUCUCUAGGUUCUGUUUAGCUGCUAUUAUGCAGCAAAAACAGCACCUGGAAACUUCCAAGUGCUGUUUUUAUUGCAUUUUAUGCAGAAACAAAGCACCUAGAAGCAUUCAAGGGUUGCUUUACUGUUGUUUUGUAUUUAAAAUUGCUGUUAGAAAUUUUGGGUGCUAUUUCUCUGAAAUUUUGCUAUUAACAGUGCAGCUUAAUAAUUUCAUAUGUCGUUUUGAACCUUCUUCAGUUCUUUUCUCUUAUGUCUAUACUUAAUCUUUUCCCCCCUGGUAAUAAGCAGGUACAAUUUUUGCAAGGUAAUAUCUAAGCAUGCUGUUAAUUCUUUGGUUGAGACGUAGUAUUCUAAACUUCAGGCCUUAAUUUUUUUAUUUCCAAGUGUAUAAUGGGUAGGUACUGGAUCUCUUAUGGAUGAUGUAGUUAAUGCUUUUUUAUUGUCUCUAUUUUGGCAAAUGUGUUGUCAUUUAUUAUCUGAACACAUGGUUGAUUAACUUACUUGAGGUAAGUCUAUUAAUUAAUAGUGAUAUGAUACUUUAAAGUCUUGUUUUACAACUUAAGUCACUAAAAUGAUUUAAUAUUUAUGAUUUAUAAUAUAUGAAUAUAUCUUAAUUUCUCUUUAUUCUUUGUAAGAAUGAUGUAGAUUGCUGAAGCUGGUGAGAUUCAUUUGCAAUUGAAGACUUGAUGAGAAAUUAGAUGUACUCACACAUGCCAAUCUUGUUGGUUGCUAGUGCAUUCACUAGUAGAAGUUUAAUGAUUGUUGGAGAUUUUUGUAGAGCUAUCUCUUUGUAAAUGAAACAUUUGCAUCAUUUUGAAUAUGAAACAUUUGUGAAAAAUAAUUGUAAAGAAUUUAAUAUGAAAUUAGAAUUAAAAUAGGGGCUUGAAAUAGCCUUAAAUUUGCCAAAUUUAUUUUUUUAAUAAUAAAUAACAAAGAUGACGGUUAUUUCAAAAGAACCGUCAUCAAAUGUAGUGUUCUAUAACAAAUAUGACGGUUUUCUUCUAAAACCGUCAUUAAAUGUUGUUUCAAUAUUUAAUGACGGUUCUUACAAUAAACCGUCAUUAAAAUGACACAUUUAAUGACGAUUAUUUAGAUAAACCGUCAUUAAAGAUAGAUAUUUAAUGACGGUUCUUACAAUAAACCGUCAUUAAAAUGACACAUUUAAUGACGGUUAUUUAAAUAACCGUAAUUAAAAAUAUACAUUUAAUGACGGUUAGUGAACCGUCAUAAAAAACAUACCCUCUUUAAUGUCGGUGCCUAAGAUGACGGUUUUAAAACCGUCAUCUUAUGUCGUUUAAAACCGUCAUAAAAGACCAAUUUUGUAGUAGUGAGUCUAUUAGGUUGGCAAAUCUACUGAAACAAUAUUGUUUCCUAUCAACUCCGAAAUACAACCAAUUGAACAACGUUCAGAAAUCGAAAAUCAUUUAUUACCAGUAAGAUUUAUUAUUAUACGCUAUACAUAUGGCUUUAACAGUCACAUUACCAAUACAUUUUUAAUCAUGGUAGGUAGGUGCUGGAAUGUAUACAAUAUUAUCAGCCUGGAAGAAAUGGCAGACAUGGGAGCUCCCUGGCUCGAUCCCAAGCACACGAAACGAUGCAUGAUCUCGACUCCAAUGAGACGUAUCCAUGUGGCAAACUGCUACAGCUUCCACUCUAUCUCCAUUAUCACCACCUAAUGAAACACCGAAUAACUUGUUCUCAGUCAUUUGGCUGUGGCAGUAGAAGAUUGCAUAAGGGUAAGGCAUGAUAUGACAUGCCACCAUCUUGGGAGCAACCAUUGGUUUAGGCACUUGUAAAAUAGUGUAAUUUUGGAAAAUGGUAGCUGAUUUUGUGAGAAAUUUUGUGCUUAGAACUUCGAAUUUGGUCUCCAAUCCGAAAGUUCCGUGUACAAAAUCAAGCAUGGAUUCCAAAGAGGUAGCACAAAUUUUGGUUUCUCCUUCGAUGGGAGGAACUUCGCAAUGAUUCAGGGUCCCUUCCAUGGCUUUGGCUAGGGGUGAGUCAUCUGAGAACGAGAAGAAUUGAAGAAGGUAAGGCAGUUGUUUCAAUGAAAAUGGAAUGGAAUCUGCUUCUUCUCUAGGCAAAGCCUGAGGAUAAGCUGAAGGAUCUCUCUUGCGAAAAAUAAAUCGGCAUCGUUUCGCCAAUCUUUAGAUCCUUCAAG